GGGGUAUUAUCAUAAUGGUAAUGUAUGUGACUUUUAAUCAUCAUUAUAUGAGUUCGAAUCUCGUAUGCCCUA
This 72-nucleotide transfer RNA is filed under the name Annulohypoxylon stygium. Its description in RNAcentral is "tRNA-Lys". It matches the Rfam family "tRNA". Rfam says of the family: Transfer RNA (tRNA) molecules are approximately 80 nucleotides in length. Their secondary structure includes four short double-helical elements and three loops (D, anti-codon, and T loops). Lineage: Eukaryota; Fungi; Ascomycota; Sordariomycetes; Xylariales; Hypoxylaceae. The record is from RNAcentral.